Molecule: unclassified non-coding RNA, 283 nt
Filed under: Hevea brasiliensis (rubber tree)
Lineage: Eukaryota; Viridiplantae; Streptophyta; Magnoliopsida; Malpighiales; Euphorbiaceae
Source: RNAcentral
GAAAUUUUAGUCUAAUAAUUAAAAUAAUAUUUAAGAAGCUGUGGCAUCAUUCACAUUACGAUUGUGAAAAGCAGAUUGUAUAAAGAGAAAUUAUAACAUUGCUCACACAAUAACAUAAAUAUGAGUAAUAUUCUCGUUAAUUUAUAAAAGAUCCUAGGUGUAAAUUUCAAAAAAAGAGUGUAUGUGAGUAUAUCAAUAAUCUAUGAUUGAAUAAACAUGCAUGAGUUGAAAGUGAAAGGAGGAUUUGGAUGAAGUGUACCUUAUUUAUCUCCCAAAGAUGCAA